AUUGAACGCUGGCGGCAGGCCUAACACAUGCAAGUCGAGCGGAUGAAGGGAGCUUGCUCCUGGAUUCAGCGGCGGACGGGUGAGUAAUGCCUAGGAAUCUGCCUGGUAGUGGUGGAUAACGUCCGGAAACGGGCGCUAAUACCGCAUACGUCCUGAGGGAGCAAGUGGGGGAUCUUCGGACCUCACGCUAUCAGAUGAACCUAGGUCGGAUUAGCUAGUUGGUGGGGUAAAGGCCUACCAAGGCGACGAUCCGUAACUGGUCGGAGAGGAUGAUCAGUCACACUGGAACUGAGACACGGUCCAGACUCCUACGGGAGGCAGCAGUGGGGAAUAGUGGGCAAUGGGCGAAAGCCUGAUCCAGCCAGGCCGCGUGUGUGAAGAAGGUCUUCGGAUUGUAAAGCACUUUAAGUUGGGAGGAAGGGCAGUAAGUUAAUACCUUGCUGUUUUGACGUUACCAACAGAAUAAGCACCGGCUAACUUCGUG
RNAcentral lists this ribosomal RNA (484 nucleotides) under uncultured bacterium. RNAcentral's name for it is "partial 16S ribosomal RNA". It matches the Rfam family "Bacterial small subunit ribosomal RNA", at positions 30 to 507 of the family's 1533-position model. The record is from RNAcentral.